UUAUGGAGGUAGUAGGUGGUAUUUAAAAGGGAGAUGAGUUCAUUUAUUCAUUUACAUGUUACCAUAUAUUUAGGG
MicroRNA precursor from Bison bison bison, 75 nucleotides. Lineage: Eukaryota; Metazoa; Chordata; Mammalia; Artiodactyla; Bovidae. The record is from Ensembl.